Molecule: ribosomal RNA, 666 nt
Filed under: Triticum aestivum (bread wheat)
Lineage: Eukaryota; Viridiplantae; Streptophyta; Magnoliopsida; Poales; Poaceae
Description: partial small subunit ribosomal RNA
Source: RNAcentral
GUGCUUCGCAUUGGCACUUCCAUCUCGGUUGGUACUGGAUCCGCGACCCUGUUCUGGUUUGAUCGGUGGAUUGGCAACAUCCCUAUGGCCGCUCGUUUUCCCGAGCUAUUCGCCAUUACUGUUGACCCUCGGGUCUCUGUCGAGUCGGCCCUUAUUGACUUAGGGCGCCUCGCUUUUCGCCGCCCCAUUGGCCCGUCCGAAGUGGCUGCCUUGGAUGCCCUCCUCCAGGACAUCGCCCUUCUCCCGAUGAGCGUCAACACACCCCCAGACGCCAUCUCUUAGCAUCUGGAGUCUUCCAGUUGCUUCUCCACCAAAUCCCUGUAUGCAGCCAUCGCCCCCUCGCCCGCCCAACCCUUCAGUCUGAUCUGGGACAUCCGCUUGCCCCUGAAAAUCAGGAUCUUCCUGUGGCAAUGGAUCCGUGGACGCCUCCCUUCCGGAGUAGAGGUCCUCAAGCGUAAUGGACCCGGAGAUGGGCUUUGCCCCCCGUGCGGCACGGUGGAAGAUGCUAAUCACAUCUUCUUCACGUGCUCCACGGCCCAGUUUCUUUGGUCCAGUUUCCGCGAGACGGUUGGCGGCCAGUGGUGCAACUACAACUUGCCUGACCUUCUCACAGAGAUCCAUGCCCCCCCUGAUAACCCACAAGUAGGGGAUCACAACAGCUUUUGA